GUUGAAGCACCAGUUCUCAUAGGAUAACUGAAGUUAAGUAAUGCUGAGCCUGUUCAGUACCUUGAUGAGUGACUGCUUGGAAAUACCAGGUG
Acanthosepion pharaonis is the source of this 92-nucleotide non-coding RNA. The record is from the annotation of a GenBank genome assembly. Lineage: Eukaryota; Metazoa; Mollusca; Cephalopoda; Sepiida; Sepiidae.